This 60-nucleotide transfer RNA is filed under the name Eutreptiella gymnastica. It matches the Rfam family "tRNA", at positions 8 to 63 of the family's 71-position model. Rfam says of the family: Transfer RNA (tRNA) molecules are approximately 80 nucleotides in length. Their secondary structure includes four short double-helical elements and three loops (D, anti-codon, and T loops). Further hydrogen bonds mediate the characteristic L-shaped molecular structure. tRNAs have two regions of fundamental functional importance: the anti-codon, which is responsible for specific mRNA codon recognition, and the 3' end, to which the tRNAs corresponding amino acid is attached (by aminoacyl-tRNA synthetases). tRNAs cope with the degeneracy of the genetic code in two manners: having more than one tRNA (with a specific anti-codon) for a particular amino acid; and 'wobble' base-pairing, i.e. permitting non-standard base-pairing at the 3rd anti-codon position. Lineage: Eukaryota; Euglenozoa; Euglenophyceae; Eutreptiales; Eutreptiaceae. The record is from RNAcentral.
CUUUAGCUCAGUGGUAGAGCAUUGCACUUGUAAUGCAAGGGUCGGUGGUUCAAACCCGCC